GUGGGGAAUAUUGGACAAUGGGCGAAAGCCUGAUCCAGCCAUGCCGCGUGUGUGAAGAAGGUCUUCGGAUUGUAAAGCACUUUAAGUUGGGAGGAAGGGCAGUAAGUUAAUACCUUGCUGUUUUGACGUUACCGACAGAAUAAGCACCGGCUAACUUCGUGCCAGCAGCCGCGGUAAUACGAAGGGUGCAAGCGUUAAUCGGAAUUACUGGGCGUAAAGCGCGCGUAGGUGGUUUUGUAAGUUGGAGGUGAAAUCCCCGGGCUCAACCUGGGAACUGCCUCCAAAACUGCAUGACUAGAGUACGGUAGAGGGUAGUGGAAUUUCCUGUGUAGCGGUGAAAUGCGUAGAUAUAGGAAGGAACACCAGUGGCGAAGGCGACUACCUGGACUGAUACUGACACUGGGGUGCGAAAGCGUGGGGAGCAAACAGGAUUAGAUACCCUAGUAGUCC
Molecule: ribosomal RNA, 450 nt
Filed under: uncultured bacterium
Lineage: Bacteria
Description: partial 16S ribosomal RNA
Rfam family: Bacterial small subunit ribosomal RNA
Source: RNAcentral